RNAcentral lists this ribosomal RNA (421 nucleotides) under uncultured bacterium. RNAcentral's name for it is "bacterial SSU rRNA". It matches the Rfam family "Bacterial small subunit ribosomal RNA", at positions 355 to 774 of the family's 1533-position model. The record is from RNAcentral.
UAAGGAAUAUUGGUCAAUGGACGCAAGUCUGAACCAGCCAUGCCGCGUGAAGGAUGAAGGUCCUCUGGAUUGUAAACUUCUUUUAUCUGGGACGAAAACGGGAUUUUUAUCUCAAUUGACGGUACCAGAGGAAUAAGCACCGGCUAACUCCGUGCCAGCAGCCGCGGUAAUACGGAGGGUGCGAGCGUUAUCCGGAUUUACUGGGUUUAAAGGGUGCGUAGGUGGGCUUAUAAGUCAGUGGUGAAAUCUCCGAGCUUAACUUGGAAACUGCCGGUGAUACUAUAGGUCGUGAAUUAUCUGGAGGUAAGCGGAAUAUGUCAUGUAGCGGUGAAAUGCUUAGAUAUGACAUAGAACACCAAUUGCGAAGGCAGCUUACUACAUAUAAAUUGACGCUGAGGCACGAAAGCGUGGGGAUCAAACA